AUCAGGAUGGCCGAGUGGUCUAAGGCGUGAGAUUUUGAAUUUUCCUUGCCCAUUACACUGGGCUGCGGGCGGUCUGCUGCUCUCUGAGGGCAUGGGAUCGAAUUCCAUUUUUGACA
RNAcentral lists this transfer RNA (116 nucleotides) under Papilio xuthus (Asian swallowtail). It matches the Rfam family "tRNA". Rfam says of the family: Transfer RNA (tRNA) molecules are approximately 80 nucleotides in length. Lineage: Eukaryota; Metazoa; Arthropoda; Insecta; Lepidoptera; Papilionidae. The record is from Rfam by way of RNAcentral.